Molecule: transfer RNA, 65 nt
Filed under: Paramacrosteles nigromaculatus
Lineage: Eukaryota; Metazoa; Arthropoda; Insecta; Hemiptera; Cicadellidae
Also listed under: 1 other name
Description: tRNA-Leu
Source: RNAcentral
UUCAGUAUGGCAGAUUAGUGCCAUGAAUUUAAGAUUCAUUAAUAAAUAAUUUUAUUUUGCUGAAA